UGCAAAGGUUGAUAAAGCUUCCUUUGGAGAUGGGGAAGGCCUGGAGAACACACGCGUUUGUUCGCCUUCCUAUGGCACAGUAAUCACUUUCUCAGGCUCAGCUGUUUUCUUAAAAUUGACCAUGUAACGUGAAGAGUGAGUUUUGGAAGACAGAGAGACAGACAGACAGACAGACACAGAGAGACAGAGACAGAGGAAAAGGGAGAGAAACGGAGAGAGAUCUUACUUCAGGAGCAGUGCCAGAAAUGACCAACUGUAUGCUCAAUUAUCCACCUCUCCACAGCAGCACAUUAUUUUAAUAUAAACUUUUCACUGCAGUCAGCAA
RNAcentral lists this long non-coding RNA (325 nucleotides) under Chinchilla lanigera (long-tailed chinchilla). Its description in RNAcentral is "lncRNA (ENSCLAG00000022700.1)". The record is from RNAcentral. Lineage: Eukaryota; Metazoa; Chordata; Mammalia; Rodentia; Chinchillidae.